Molecule: ribosomal RNA, 281 nt
Filed under: Lactobacillus delbrueckii subsp. bulgaricus
Lineage: Bacteria; Bacillati; Bacillota; Bacilli; Lactobacillales; Lactobacillaceae
Description: partial 23S ribosomal RNA
Rfam family: Bacterial large subunit ribosomal RNA
Source: RNAcentral
GAGUAGGGCGGGACACGUGAAAUCCCGUUUGAAUCCGCGAGGACCAUCUCGCAAGGCUAAAUACUAACCAGUGACCGAUAGUGAACCAGUACCGUGAGGGAAAGGUGAAAAGAACCCCGGGAGGGGAGUGAAAGAGAACCUGAAACCGUGUGCCUACAAGUAGUCAGAGCCCGUUAACGGGUAAUGGCGUGCCUUUUGUAGAAUGAACCGGCGAGUUGCGUUAGUCAGCAAGGUUAAGUCAGAAAAGACGGAGCCGUAGCGAAAGCGAGUCUGAAGAGGGC